This 274-nucleotide ribosomal RNA is filed under the name uncultured bacterium. RNAcentral's name for it is "partial 16S ribosomal RNA". It matches the Rfam family "Bacterial small subunit ribosomal RNA", at positions 523 to 796 of the family's 1533-position model. The record is from RNAcentral.
AUACAGAGGGUGCGAGCGUUAAUCGGAAUUACUGGGCGUAAAGAGCACGUAGGUGGUUUAUCAAGUUGGCUGUGAAAUCCCCGGGCUUAACCUGGGCUGGUCAGCCAAUACUGGUAAACUAGAGGCCAAGAGAGGGUAGUGGAAUUUCCGGUGUAGCGGUGAAAUGCAUAGAUAUCGGAAGGAACACCAGUGGCGAAGGCGGCCAUCUGGCUCGGUACUGACGCUGAGGCGCGAAAGCGUGGGGAGCAAACAGGAUUAGAUACCCCAGUAGUCC